CAGUAGCCACGGUAAAACGGAGGGGGCUAGCGUUGUUCGGAAUUACUGGGCGUAAAGCGCACGUAGGCGGCUUUGUAAGUCAGAGGUGAAAGCCUGGAGCUCAACUCCAGAAUUGCCUUUGAGACUGCAUCGCUUGAACGUCGGAGAGGUGAGUGGAAUUCCGAGUGUAGAGGUGAAAUUCGUAGAUAUUCGGAAGAACACCAGUGGCGAAGGCGGCUCACUGGACGACUGUUGACGCUGAGGUGCGAAAGCGUGGGGAGCAAACAGGAUUAGAUACCCCGGUAGUCCCUGUCUCUUAUAA
This 301-nucleotide ribosomal RNA is filed under the name uncultured bacterium. RNAcentral describes it as "partial 16S ribosomal RNA". It matches the Rfam family "Bacterial small subunit ribosomal RNA", at positions 509 to 809 of the family's 1533-position model. The record is from RNAcentral.